GCCUGGGUGGCUCGGUUGGUUGAGCAUCUGACUUCAGCUCAGGUCAUGAUCUUGCAGUUUGUGGGUUCAAGCCCCACAUUGGGCU
This 85-nucleotide transfer RNA is filed under the name Felis catus (domestic cat). It matches the Rfam family "tRNA". From Rfam's summary of the family: Transfer RNA (tRNA) molecules are approximately 80 nucleotides in length. The record is from Rfam by way of RNAcentral. Lineage: Eukaryota; Metazoa; Chordata; Mammalia; Carnivora; Felidae.